Molecule: long non-coding RNA, 434 nt
Filed under: Linum usitatissimum (flax)
Lineage: Eukaryota; Viridiplantae; Streptophyta; Magnoliopsida; Malpighiales; Linaceae
Description: long non-coding RNA (LUSI_LNC006192)
Source: RNAcentral
CAAACCCUUUCCAGCCACCGCCAUCAGUGUUGCCUCCGAUUCUUCCAACGCCUCCUCGGCCUUCAUUUUUGCCUCCAAUUCUUCCAACGCCUCCUCGGCCUUCAUUUUUGCCUCCAAUUCUUCCAACACGUCCGCCUUCAUUUUUGCCUCCAAUUCUUCCAACACCUCGUAGUGCUUCUCAUAAAUCCGGGCCCUGAGUCGAACUUACCUCCGGUUCUUGAUCAGCUGUGUAAAGUUAUAUCUAUCUAUCUAUCUAUCUAUCUAUCCAGUCAUAUGUUUUCACUGUCACGUCUUUUUUCCUAGUUAAUAAAGAGAGAAGCUGCAACAUACAGACACCCCGAUGCACUAGUGAUGUAAGAUGAUAUCUAAAGAAAGCGAAAACAAACUGGAUUCUGGCGUAAUAACUAAUAAAAAUUAGCUAGAUUGCCACCUGG